Molecule: ribosomal RNA, 429 nt
Filed under: Verrucomicrobiota bacterium
Lineage: Bacteria; Pseudomonadati; Verrucomicrobiota
Description: Verrucomicrobia bacterium partial 16S ribosomal RNA
Rfam family: Bacterial small subunit ribosomal RNA
Source: RNAcentral
UAGGGAAUCUUCGGCAAUGGGGGGAACCCUGACCGAGCAACGCCGCGUGAGUGAAGAAGGUUUUCGGAUCGUAAAGCUCUGUUGGUAAGGAAGAACGAGUGUGAGAAUGGAAAGUUCAUGCUGUGACGGUACUUAACCAGAAAGGGACGGCUAACUACGUGCCAGCAGCCGCGGUAAUACGUAGGUCCCGAGCGUUGUCCGGAUUUAUUGGGCGUAAAGCGAGCGCAGGCGGUUAGAAAAGUCUGAAGUGAAAGGCAGUGGCUCAACCAUUGUAGGCCUUGGAAACUGUUUAACUUGAGUGCAGAAGGGGGGAGUGGAAUUCCAUGUGUAGCGGUGAAAUGCGUGGAUAUAUGGAGGAACACCGGUGGCGAAAGCGGCUCUCUGGUCUGUAACUGACGCUGUGACUCGAAAGCGUGGGGAGCGAACAGG